Hyla sarda is the source of this 387-nucleotide long non-coding RNA. RefSeq lists it as uncharacterized. The record is from RefSeq and is a predicted model, not a curated record. Lineage: Eukaryota; Metazoa; Chordata; Amphibia; Anura; Hylidae. The transcript is spliced from 4 exons.
CUGUACAGCCUCUGCGGCCUGUAUCCUCACUCCAUACCAGCGGAGCUCCGUCCAGUCUGACAGUCUCUGAUCUGCAGGGCGGCCAUCAGAGAGGAUCAGAAUGCACUGACAUAGUGAGGAGCCAUCUGGGCGUCAAGUUCUGCAGCAAGAACAUUUAGCUGGACCUGGUGUGACAUGAAUAUAUGUGACACAUGCAUACGUGCACAAAUUUAAAAUCCGAAUAAGCAAGGCAGACAGACUUUGUAUGUCAAGGGUUAAAAAGGCGCAAGCUUUCCAAGGUCUACCCAUCAUUCCUGGACAGAAUAUUUAUCUGAGCUUCUGUAUGUGGCUCACAAAUCCCUCUGUUUUCCUGGUCACUCAUUCUGACAUCCACUGCUCAGGAAGAGG